GGCAACAUGCCGGAGUGGUUAACGGGUUAGACUCGAAAUCUAAUGCUUUCGGGCGCACAGGUUCGAAUCCUGUUGUUGUCG
Molecule: transfer RNA, 81 nt
Filed under: Xylariaceae sp. FL0016
Lineage: Eukaryota; Fungi; Ascomycota; Sordariomycetes; Xylariales; Xylariaceae
Description: tRNA-Ser
Rfam family: tRNA
About the family: Transfer RNA (tRNA) molecules are approximately 80 nucleotides in length. Their secondary structure includes four short double-helical elements and three loops (D, anti-codon, and T loops).
Source: RNAcentral